This 437-nucleotide ribosomal RNA is filed under the name Achromobacter xylosoxidans. Its description in RNAcentral is "bacterial SSU rRNA". It matches the Rfam family "Bacterial small subunit ribosomal RNA", at positions 30 to 470 of the family's 1533-position model. Lineage: Bacteria; Pseudomonadati; Pseudomonadota; Betaproteobacteria; Burkholderiales; Alcaligenaceae. The record is from RNAcentral.
UGAACGCUAGCGGGAUGCCUUACACAUGCAAGUCGAACGGCAGCACGGACUUCGGUCUGGUGGCGAGUGGCGAACGGGUGAGUAAUGUAUCGGAACGUGCCCAGUAGCGGGGGAUAACUACGCGAAAGCGUAGCUAAUACCGCAUACGCCCUACGGGGGAAAGCAGGGGAUCGCAAGACCUUGCACUAUUGGAGCGGCCGAUAUCGGAUUAGCUAGUUGGUGGGGUAACGGCUCACCAAGGCGACGAUCCGUAGCUGGUUUGAGAGGACGACCAGCCACACUGGGACUGAGACACGGCCCAGACUCCUACGGGAGGCAGCAGUGGGGAAUUUUGGACAAUGGGGGAAACCCUGAUCCAGCCAUCCCGCGUGUGCGAUGAAGGCCUUCGGGUUGUAAAGCACUUUUGGCAGGAAAGAAACGUCGCGGGUUAAUACCCU